CCUACGGGGGGCAGCAGUGGGGAAUAUUGGACAAUGGGGGGAACCCUGAUCCAGCCAUGCCGCGUGUGUGAAGAAGGCCCUCGGGUUGUAAAGCACUUUCAGUGAGGAAGAACGCCUGGUGGUUAAUACCCAUCAGGAAAGACAUCACUCACAGAAGAAGCACCGGCUAACUCCGUGCCAGCAGCCGCGGUAAUACGGAGGGUGCGAGCGUUAAUCGGAAUUACUGGGCGUAAAGCGCGCGUAGGUGGCUUGAUAAGCCGGUUGUGAAAGCCCCGGGCUCAACCUGGGAACGGCAUCCGGAACUGUCAAGCUAGAGUGCAGGAGAGGAAGGUAGAAUUCCCGGUGUAGCGGUGAAAUGCGUAGAGAUCGGGAGGAAUACCAGUGGCGAAGGCGGCCUUUUGGACUGACACUGACACUGAGGUGCGAAAGCGUGGGUAGCAAACAGGAUUAGAUACCCGAGUAGUC
RNAcentral lists this ribosomal RNA (465 nucleotides) under Vreelandella stevensii. RNAcentral's name for it is "partial 16S ribosomal RNA". It matches the Rfam family "Bacterial small subunit ribosomal RNA", at positions 338 to 795 of the family's 1533-position model. Lineage: Bacteria; Pseudomonadati; Pseudomonadota; Gammaproteobacteria; Oceanospirillales; Halomonadaceae. The record is from RNAcentral.